Molecule: ribosomal RNA, 419 nt
Filed under: uncultured bacterium
Lineage: Bacteria
Description: bacterial SSU rRNA
Rfam family: Bacterial small subunit ribosomal RNA
Source: RNAcentral
UGGGGAAUAUUGCGCAAUGGCCGAAAGGCUGACGCAGCGACGCCGCGUGGGGGAUGAAGCAUUUCGGUGUGUAAACCCCUGUUGCCCGGGACGAACAAGCAGAUUUUUCUGCUCUGACGGUACCGGGUGAGGAAGCACCGGCUAACUCCGUGCCAGCAGCCGCGGUAAUACGGAGGGUGCGAGCGUUGUCCGGAAUCACUGGGCGUAAAGGGCGCGUAGGCGGAUGCGCAAGUUGGGGGUGAAAUCCCGGGGCUUAACCUCGGAAUUGCCCUCAAAACUGAACGUCUUGAGACCGAGAGAGGUAAGGGGAAUUCCUAGUGUAGAGGUGAAAUUCGUAGAUAUUAGGAAGAACACCAGUGGCGAAGGCGCCUUACUGGCUCGGUACUGACGCUGAGGUACGAAAGCGUGGGGAGCAAACA